This 1400-nucleotide unclassified non-coding RNA is filed under the name Hevea brasiliensis (rubber tree). The record is from RNAcentral. Lineage: Eukaryota; Viridiplantae; Streptophyta; Magnoliopsida; Malpighiales; Euphorbiaceae.
GGAAAGAUCUGUCUGGUGUGUGCCUUCCUGUGUACUUCAAUGAGCCACUAUCUUCACUGCAGAAAUGCUUUGAAGAUUUGGAGUACUCACACCUGGUUGAUCAAGCACUGGAGUGGGGAAAGCAGGGAGAUGAUCUGAUGAGAAUCCUUAAGAUUGCAGCUUUUGCUGUAUCUGGUUAUGCAUCGACUCAGGGCAGACAAUGCAAACCUUUUAAUCCUCUCCUUGGUGAAACCUACGAGGCAGAUUAUCCUGACAAGGGUCUACACUUCUUUUCUGAAAAAGUUAGUCAUCACCCCAUGGUUGUUGCUUGCCACUGUGAGGGCAGAGGGUGGAAAUUCUGGGCAGAUUCUAAUCUCAAAGGGAAGUUUUGGGGACGCUCAAUCCAACUUGAUCCUGUGGGGGUUCUAACCCUGCAAUUUGAAGAUGGUGAGACAUUUCAGUGGAGCAAGGUUACUACUUCUAUAUACAACAUAAUAAUUGGUAAAAUCUAUUGUGACCAUUAUGGCGCUAUGCGGAUCAAAGGCAGUGGUAAAUAUUCAUGCAAGCUCAAAUUCAAGGAGCAGUCUAUUAUUGAUCGAAAUCCUCAUCAGGUUCAUGGAUUUGUGCAAGACAACAGGACAGGAGAAAAAGUGGCCAUGUUAUUGGGGAAGUGGGAUGAAGCAAUGUAUUAUGUGUUGGGAGAUCCAACUACAAAGCCAAAGGGCUAUGAUCCCAUGACUGAAGCCAUAUUGUUGUGGGAGAGGGACAAAUCUACUCCCAAAACAAGAUACAACCUCACACCUUUUGCAAUAUCUUUAAAUGAAUUGACACCUGGGUUAAGAGAGAAGCUUCCACCAACUGACUCAAGGCUGAGGCCUGAUCAGCGCCACUUAGAGAAUGGGGAGUAUGAGCUGGCUAAUGCAGAGAAGCUUAGGCUUGAACAGUUGCAGAGACAGGCAAGGAAACUACAGGAGAGGGGUUGGAGACCAAGAUGGUUUAGCAAGGAUGAGGAUGGUUGUUAUCGUUAUGUGGGUGGAUAUUGGGAAGCAAAGGAGAAACAUAAUUGGGAAGGUAUCUCUGAUAUAUUUGGGCAUACAGGUGAUCCUUCUCCAGUAAUCGAAGAGUUUGCCUGUUAAGCCUGCUCUUCAUUUCUUAUGGAGAGGUACAUGUUACAUGGCUUUUCUAGCAACUAGGUUUCUGAGUUUUGACAUUUUCCUUCACAAUUUGAUACUAUCUAUUUUAAUGUGUAUAAUAGCUCUCUCUAGGGUGCUUGGUCUGAUAUCAGCUCAGCUAGACAUUUUUAUAUCACAAGGAAAGUUUCAGUAUCAUUCAACUGGAACUUGGGACUAUUUCUUAGUUGUGACGGUUCAAAAGUAGUUGUUUUUUCCCAAAAAAUGAUUCAGUAAAAACUAGGGGUGUCC